GCCCGGGUGGCGGAACUGGCAGACGCAAGAGACUUAAAAUCUCUCGGCCUUGGCCGUACCGGUUCGAUCCCGGUCCCGGGCACCA
This 85-nucleotide transfer RNA is filed under the name Deltaproteobacteria bacterium. RNAcentral's name for it is "tRNA-Leu". It matches the Rfam family "tRNA". Rfam says of the family: Transfer RNA (tRNA) molecules are approximately 80 nucleotides in length. Their secondary structure includes four short double-helical elements and three loops (D, anti-codon, and T loops). The record is from RNAcentral. Lineage: Bacteria; Pseudomonadati; Myxococcota; Myxococcia.